UAGAAGAUAUGAUUAUAACAAUUUCUUUUACUUAGGCGGACUAGGUACAAGAAAAACAAUUGCUGCCACACAAGACGACCAAGGUCCGCUCUGCUCUGGUGCUAUCCCUCGCUCUAGCUCCGUUCGUUGCUGCACAAGAAAAACAGAGACAAGCGAAAACAAAUUAUCUAAGAUGAGUCUGUCGAUGAAGCGACAGCGUCUCCUCUAGAGGGUGACGGCGGCGGCGCCUGUGUGCGGCUUCGACUACAACCUCCUCUCCGGAGCUCCAGUCCUAAGAAAGUUGGAAGUGCGAAGACGUGAAGAAAAGCGCGAAGCUGUGAAGUGCGACUCAGCAAAGAGUUGUCUGUUCCAUUUGACUGUAAUAUUGUAAUAGCUGGUAUACCUAGGUUGUAAUAGUCUAUAGAAAUUGUAAUACACUAAUCUAGUGUUAUUUGAUGAAUUUCACAUGUUCUCUUGUUUGGAAUAUUUGAUUAUGAAUGUUAUUUGAUAGUGUGUGAGAUGGGAACCU
Molecule: long non-coding RNA, 508 nt
Organism: Triticum dicoccoides
Lineage: Eukaryota; Viridiplantae; Streptophyta; Magnoliopsida; Poales; Poaceae
Exons: 3
Source: RefSeq, a predicted model, not a curated record